RNAcentral lists this ribosomal RNA (891 nucleotides) under uncultured Gammaproteobacteria bacterium. RNAcentral describes it as "bacterial SSU rRNA". It matches the Rfam family "Bacterial small subunit ribosomal RNA", at positions 34 to 918 of the family's 1533-position model. Lineage: Bacteria; Pseudomonadati; Pseudomonadota; Gammaproteobacteria. The record is from RNAcentral.
CGCGGGGCAUGCGGGUGACUACCAUGCAAGUCGAGCGGUACAGGCGUAGCAAUUCGUGCUGACGAGCGGCGGACGGCCCCCACAAGGUUAGGAAUCUGUUCAGUAGUGGGGAACAACAAGGCUUAAAAGGGGCUAAUACCGCAUAAGAACAUCGGGGGAAAGCGGGGGACCGUAAGGGCUCGCGCUAUUGGAUGAGCCUAAGUCGGAUUAGCUAGUUGGUAGGGUAACGGCCUACCAAGGCGACAAUCCGUAGCUGGUCUGAGAGGACGACCAGCCACACUGGGGCUGAGACACGGCCCAGACUCCUACGGGAGGCAGCAGUGGGGAAUAUUGGACAAUGGGGGAAACCCUGAUCCAGCGACGCCGCGUGUGUGAAGAAGGCCUGCGGGUUGUAAAGCACUUUUAGUGGGGAUGAAAAGCACCAGGCUAAUAUCCGGGUGUCUUGACCUAACCCAAAGAAAAACACCGGCUAACUCUGUGCCAGCAGCCGCGGUAAUACAGAGGGUGCGAGCGUUAAUCGGAAUUACUGGGCGUAAAGCGCACGCAGACGGUUCUGUAAGUCGGGUGUGAAGGCCCCGGGCUCAACCUGGGAACUGCAUUCGAGACUGCAUUACUGGAGUAUGGGAGAGGGCAGUGGAAUUUCCGGUGUAGCGGUGAAAUGCGUAGAUAUCGGAAGGAACAUCAGUGGCGAAAGCGACUGCCUGGCCCAAUACUGACGUUCAUGUGCGAAAGCGUGGGGAGCAAACAGGAUUAGAUACCCUGGUAGUCACGCCAUUAACGAUGACAACUAGAUGUCGAGAGGGUUAGCCUCACGGUGUCGCAGCUAACGCGUUAAGUUGUCCCGCCUGGGAGUACCGGCCGCAGGUUGAAACUCAAAGGAAAUUGACGGGA